RNAcentral lists this ribosomal RNA (428 nucleotides) under uncultured bacterium. RNAcentral describes it as "bacterial SSU rRNA". It matches the Rfam family "Bacterial small subunit ribosomal RNA", at positions 355 to 776 of the family's 1533-position model. The record is from RNAcentral.
UGGGGAAUUGUUCGCAAUGGGCGCAAGCCUGACGACGCAACGCCGCGUGGAGGAUGAAGGUCUUCGGAUUGUAAACUCCUGUUGCCAGGGACGAAAAGCUUACACCUAAUACGUGUGAGUCUGACGGUACCUGGUGAGGAAGCCCCGGCUAACUCUGUGCCAGCAGCCGCGGUAAUACAGAGGGGGCAAGCGUUGUUCGGAAUUACUGGGCGUAAAGGGCGCGUAGGCGGCCCUCUAAGUCGGACGUGAAAUCCCCGGGCUCAACCCGGGAACUGCGUCCGAUACUGGAGGGCUUGAAUUCGGGAGAGGGAUGCGGAAUUCCAGGUGUAGCGGUGAAAUGCGUAGAUAUCUGGAGGAACACCGGUGGCGAAGGCGGCAUCCUGGACCGACAUUGACGCUGAGGCGCGAAAGCCAGGGGAGCAAACGGG